RNAcentral lists this long non-coding RNA (200 nucleotides) under Anser brachyrhynchus (Pink-footed goose). RNAcentral's name for it is "lncRNA (ENSABRG00000019319.1)". The record is from RNAcentral. Lineage: Eukaryota; Metazoa; Chordata; Aves; Anseriformes; Anatidae.
CCUGACACUGAUUUCAGGUAGAAGUUUCAGAAACCUCUGCAGACUUGACCAUUGCUCACUGUGAGGCUUUUCCCUAGGGUGGCAGAUGGUGGGACAUUCAUUGGAAAGCUCCUCUUGUGCAUCUUCCUGAAGGCUGCUUGCCACAGAUGGUUCCACAUCAAUACUGGACCUUCCAAGGACUCCCUAUAAACUGUGAGAAG